RNAcentral lists this ribosomal RNA (495 nucleotides) under uncultured bacterium. Its description in RNAcentral is "partial 16S ribosomal RNA". It matches the Rfam family "Bacterial small subunit ribosomal RNA", at positions 28 to 507 of the family's 1533-position model. The record is from RNAcentral.
GAUGAACGCUGGCGGCGUGCUUAACACAUGCAAGUCGAACGAAGCACCUCUCCCGAAGCUUGACACAGCUUGCUGUAGAUUGAUUCAUUUGAGGUGACUGAGUGGCGGACGGGUGAGUAACGCGUGGGUAACCUGCCUCAUAGAGGGGGACAACAGUUGGAAACGACUGCUAAUACCGCAUAGUAAGAAGAAUUCGCAUGUUUUCUUCUUGAAAGAUUUAUCGCUAUGAGAUGGACCCGCGUCUGAUUAGCUAGUUGGUAAGGUAACGGCUUACCAAGGCGACGAUCAGUAGCCGGCAUGAGAGAGUGAACGGCCACAUUGGGACUGAGACACGGCCCAAACUCCUACGGGAGGCAGCAGUGGGGAAUAUUGCACAAUGGGGGAAACCCUGAUGCAGCGACGCCGCGUGAGUGAAGAAGUAUUUCGGUAUGUAAAGCUCUAUCAGCAGGGAAGAUAAUGACGGUACCUGACUAAGAAGCCCCGGCUAACUACGUG